Molecule: long non-coding RNA, 255 nt
Filed under: Salvia miltiorrhiza (redroot sage)
Lineage: Eukaryota; Viridiplantae; Streptophyta; Magnoliopsida; Lamiales; Lamiaceae
Description: long non-coding RNA (SMIL_LNC008609)
Source: RNAcentral
CCUGAUCUUUGUUCUGGUGGACCAACAUUGCAUGUCUUAUUCCUCAAUAAUGAAGUUUUGUUUCUCCUAAACACAUGGUUAGGAGGUAAGAACUUCCGAUGAUUAUCAAACCACAAUUGUUUUCCACUCAUCGGCAAAGUGAAUGCUUCUGUAUUCUCCAUGCAAUGUGGACAUGCCAAUUUCCCAGUUGUACCCCACCCAGACAACAUAGCGUAGUACGCUGGAAAAUCACUGAUAGUCCAUAUCAGAGCUGCU